GAGUAUCAAUUGGAGGGCAAGUCUGGUGCCAGCAGCCGCGGUAAUUCCAGCUCCAAUAGCGUAUAUUAAAAUUGUUGCAGUUAAAAAGCUCGUAGUUGAAUUUCUGCUGCAUUGCUUUUGCUCCUUUACGAGUCUUUGCAUUGUGGCUUAUUUCGGACUUUGUUUUACAAUGUCCGGAUGUUUACUUUGAGAAAAUUAGAGUGCUCAAAGCAGGCUUUCGCCUUGAAUAGUUUAGCAUGGAAUAAUAAAGUAGGACUUUGGUUCUAUUUUGUUGGUUUUAGGUACCAAAGUAAUGGUUAAUAGGAACAGUUGGGGGCAUUCGUAUUUAACUGUCAGAGGUGAAAUUCUUAGAUUUGUUAAAGACGAACUACUGCGAAAGCAUUUGCCAAGGAUGUUUUCAUUAAUCAAGAACGAAAGUUAGGGGAUCGAAGACGAUCAGAUACCGUCGUAGUCCUAACCAUAAAC
This 465-nucleotide ribosomal RNA is filed under the name Theileria ovis. RNAcentral's name for it is "SSU rRNA". It matches the Rfam family "Eukaryotic small subunit ribosomal RNA", at positions 539 to 1037 of the family's 1831-position model. The record is from RNAcentral. Lineage: Eukaryota; Apicomplexa; Aconoidasida; Piroplasmida; Theileriidae.